Molecule: long non-coding RNA, 657 nt
Organism: Culex pipiens pallens (northern house mosquito)
Lineage: Eukaryota; Metazoa; Arthropoda; Insecta; Diptera; Culicidae
Exons: 2
Source: RefSeq, a predicted model, not a curated record
GCGUGACGAUGAUUCGUGGAGUCCACUUGAAGAUGAUAAUGAACCCGUAUUGAUAUUGGCAGCUGGUUGCGCCCUUUGUGGAAAAUUUGAUGAUGGAGCGUAUGCACCUAUGGAUUAUACAAAAAGUCGAAACCCAAGGAUGUCGGAUGAGGAUGACCCGGAUGACACACUAAAUUACACAACUUGCGCGUAGGGAAUGGGUAAGAAGGACAGAAUGAGAGCCACACUGAAAGCCCAACCAUAGCAAUUGUAUAUUGUAGAGGUAAAUUAAGAAUAUGCACCGACGUAUUGACAAUGAACUGUGUCCUACAAGCACUGUCUACGCCCCACGGUGUCAAAUCAGAAUUUCGCGAAGCGAAAGUGCAACAAAAUUGUGUAAUCGUUCAAACAUUUAUAUCUUCAAACAAAAUCAAGCAAUCUUUAUGUUUUACCUACCAAACGAAAGGCACCGAUCCACGUAGCCCAGUGGUAACGCUUCCGCCUCGUAAGUGGUAGAUCGGGGUUCAAAUCCCGGUUCGGACCAACACAACUGGAGAUCUAUUCCCUGCUGGAUUUCGAUUUCGAUAGAGUUUUAUGCUCCAGACCCCAAGUUGUCGGAUGAUACGAAUAAAUAAACAACAAUAAACAACUACACAUUAGGGAAGGCGACCUAUAGAA